This is a long non-coding RNA of Panthera uncia (snow leopard), 5978 nucleotides long. RefSeq lists it as uncharacterized. The transcript has 2 exons. Lineage: Eukaryota; Metazoa; Chordata; Mammalia; Carnivora; Felidae. The record is from RefSeq and is a predicted model, not a curated record.
GGGGGUGGGGGUGGGUUGUGCUGUGUUCUGAGCCCUGGCUGGAAAUAGGUCAUUGUCUCAAUGGCAGCAUUUGCGCAGCUGAAAAUUGGAAGUGAGCGUAAAGCGUGGGGCAUUCCGGGGCAGGGUUUUGGAGCACUGGGACCAUGGGUAGGGGUAGGGGCGGGACGAAGCAGCACAGACCUCCCCCGCCCCCUUCCCCUCCACUAGUUAUGUGCAUAGAUGUAAUCCAUCCUGGACCUGACGGACCAGAUUGUGACCAAGUAUAAAUUGAAGGCUUUUGUUUUUGUUUUUCCCCGACACUUAGUGUAAUUUCAGAAACGCUGGGCCGUUUAAAGUAAGUUUGGUUGAAAUGUGCUUAUGCAGGCAAAUUUUGUAAGGUUUCUGAUUUCAUAUGGAGUUUUUAAAAAGCUAAUGGGGUCUUGCUCUCUGUUUUUGAAGAUGUCAAAAGUAAGGGCUUCUUGGUCAAGUUCAAAUGUAUUUUGCCUAAGCUUCUUACAAGGGAAAUGUUCUGUACCCCAAAAUAUUACGGCAUAUGUGGUUUUAACACUUUUUAUUUUUGAAAUACUCUUUACACCCAGCAUGGGGCUUGAACUCACAAACUCAAGAUCAAGAGUUGCAUGCUUAACCGGCUGAGCCAUCCAGACACCCCUACUGCACAUGGGAUCUUUAAGCAGGGGCAAAGAUUUGUCAAAGAGAUGGCACAAGAUUUAAGUACAAUUUAUCUUUUAUGUCCUUGCCUAAAACAACAGGUUAGUGAAAAGAAUUCUGCUUGGAUACUUCUAUUUUUUCAUAGGCUUCCCCCCACAUCACCCCCCCUCCCCAGUAGGUUAGAUAGGAGAAACCCUUCAGAGACUUGUAACUUUACAGAGAAAACAUUCCAGGUGGGUAGUGAAGUUUAAUCUAUAGGCCUUUAAUUUCCUGUAUUUUAUGAGCCUAGACUUAAAAAUCAUUGCAGCAAGUGAUGGCCAUCCUGGCCCUGUCCCUUUUCUUCUUUUAUGGGAUCCUCAGUUUGUGGAUAUAAUUAACCUCCCUUUUCAGUGGACUAAAUUGAUGCUGAAGUAUGUAUGACACAUCUAGCAAAACUGAAAUCACGUGUUACAGAAUCAAGACUUCACAAGCUUAUUAGGUAAAGAGAAAGUGACCUUUGAGUGGGGAGAAAAGGAUGUAGACAGCAUCUGUGUUUCUGGAAAGAAAGAGUUUCUUUUGUGGAACGUGACAUUCUUUGAUCAUUGCCUCCCCUUUCCUAGGUCAGGUGUCCAAGCAUUGUAGCUAGUUUAGUGCCCAUAUUUAAUCUACACACACAGUGUAUGUCAUUCCUACUUACAGACUCUCACAAAAAAGCUUCUUUAAAACGCACAGCUGUGGGGCGCCUGGGUGGCUCGGUCGGUUAAGCGUCCGACUUCGGCUCGGGUCAUCCUCUCACGGUCCGUGGGUUCGAGCCCCGCGUCGGGCUCUGUGCUGACAGCUCAGAGCCUGGAGCCUGUUUCAGAGUCUGUGUCUCCCUCUCUCUGUGACCCUCCCCCAUUCAUGCUCUGUCUCUCUCUGUCUCAAAAAUAAAUAAACGUUAAAAAAAAAAUUUUUUUUAAAAAAGAUACACAGGAGCUCAAAAGAAAGGAAUGGCAGUAUUGUGAGUCAUUAUCCAUUGAUUUGCAGGUUUGCUGUUAGUGUUAUUUAAUUAGUAAAAUGUAUUUAUACUGCUUUUUCCAUCUUCUCUGAAGGUCUGGUGUUAAGAGCUAGCACAAAACGUGUAUCUCUGGAAUUUUAAACUUUGAGCCCAGCCUGCUUUGGGCGUGUGGUGACAUGUGGCUCUGCUGGUGGUGGGAAAUUUCAGGAGGGACUGCUGCCUCCCCAGUUCUGACCGACUGUGGUGCUGGUGUCGGGUCAUUAUGGACUUGGCUCUGUUUGAUGCACAAUCGUAUUUUAAGGACCACAUUUCUAUUUUACUUGUCUUCUCUCUGUACAUCAGUGUUGUGCUAUUGUGGUAAAUACCUCCCCAUAGCAACGUACCGGUUUUUCUUUUGGCCUCUCUAUCCUUAAAAGAAUGGUAUAUGACAGCAGGGUGGUUUCUGGACUGGCUUUCUUCAAUAAAAGCCGGGCUCAUCUAAUUAUAUGCUUAUUAGAAACUGUAACAAUGUAGAAUAUGGUCACUGGAUUUUCAGUGGCAACUACUUCUCUAUAAUUUUGUUGUUAUAUAAACAGUGUUACUGGGAGCGGCGAUGUCCAUUUGAAACAAACAUUUUAUAUCCUAGGUAGAAAAAAGUUAUCUUUUAAGUAGUAGUCAUUACCAUGAUCCCCUAAAAAGGGCUGAUGAUAUAGAGGGAGAAAAGCUAAAAAAUCUACUUGCCUUUGGGGCUUGGCUGAAUUCAUGCGUCAGCAUUUCUACGCUAAGCUGAUUAAGGUUUGCUAAGUUAACAGUGAAGUUUACGGAGCUUGGUCAUUUGUUAGCGUUUGUGAAAAAUGACCACUGUGUGUCAUAGCUAAUGUUAGGAUUAUUUAUUGAGUUGGAGUAUUGCUCAUAAGGACUUGAUCUUUAUCUCAAAGGUCAGGAUCCAGAGAGAUGACCAAAAUAGGGCGUCCAUCUGUUGGGAUAUGGAGUAUGCGGGAUGGGAGAGCAUAGGUCUGUAACUGUUUUUAGUUCUAAUGAAUGAAAAUUUAGUGAAGAUAUUUUUACGUAGUGGAUUAUAAAUAACAGCAAUAAAUGCAUUAAUUUGGCCAAGAGGUGUUGUGGCUUCUUGUAUGUUCGGGAUAGUAACCUCUUGCCCUGAGAGCAGUGGCUGGUCUGGGGUGGCUCACCUGUGAGUUUGGUAGAGCGGUGUCGACUUAUGGGCUCCAUCCCAACUUACUGAGUCAGACUCUCUGAGCCCGGGGCCCGGAAAGCUGUGUCAACAAGCUCCUCAGGUGAGUCUUUUGCGUGUGCAGGUUUGUGGAGCACUGAGGACCCAAGGAGUAGCUUAUAAGGUGCAGCUGGCUGUAUUUCUUAAACGAUUACCAAGGGACACCAGAUUUCCUACAACAUGUCUGAUGUGGCCACGUCCUUUGGGCAGCAGUGGACAGAGCUCUGGAGGUGUUUGUGUUAAGUAGCUGUAGCAUGCCCGGCACCAUCGGAGCUCAGUGUCGAACAGAAGACUCGGCCUCCUGCCUAAAAGUUAGAGCAGGAACACGAUUUCCUUGGGAGAACCCUGAACAAGAGCCCGGGUUCUCCCCUCCUCUCCUUGGUGGUGAACGCCCAGUUGUCUUCCCUCAUGUGUAAGGGGAAGGAGUUGACUAGAAUUCACGAUGCUAGAAAUACUGCUGACUUCAGAGAGUAAGUGUGGGAACGUAGGAUUCAGAGUGUCUUCUACUGUGUUCACAUCAGUUUGGCAGCUUGGACCGUCUUCCUGUGAGCACAUAGAAUAUUCUCAUUUACAACUUACAGCAGUAAACUUAAAUUGAAUUUUAGUUUUUAAAAAUUCAUUUUUCUGAGUUGCUGGGCUGGCUCAGUCGGCGGAGCACGUGACUCUUGAUCUCAGGGUUGUGGUUUCAAGCCCCACAUCCGGUGUAGAGAUUACUUAAAAAUAAAAUCUUUUGAAUAAGUACAUACAUAAAAAUUCAUUUUUCUUUCGUCUUUAUUUUCCCCUAAAGAUUUUUUAUUCUUAUCAUUUUGAAUGCCAAACUGACAGUAGUUAGUAUAGUUCAUAUUUGCAAUCACUAAAGCAACAUGGAGCUAGUUAAUAAGAUACUCAACCCAAAUGUCCCAAAUGGUGAAUGGAUGGACAGCAGUGAUGUAUCCAUACACUGGAAUGUUCCUUGGCGAUAAAGAGGGAAGCCCCAGUACAGGCUACAUCAUGGAUGAACCUCGAAAACAUUACACUGAGUGAUGGAAGGCAGAGUGUUUACACGCCCUGUUGAGAACAGGGAAAUCUAUGGAGACAAAAAGAAGAUGAGUGUUUCUCAGGGCUGGGGAGGCAGGGGUGACUGCUAAUGGGCACCAGGCUUCUUUAAAGGGAAUGAGAUGCUCUAAAAUUAGAUAGUGGUGCUGGUUGCAUAACUCUGCUGAAAACCACUGAAUUGCAUGUUUUAGAUGGGCGAAUUGUGUGUAAGUUAUAUUUCAACAAAGCUGUUAUUAAAAAAGAACACAUAAUGACUCAACAUGAAAAUCAAAAUACAAUAGUCUCUAAUUAUUGAAUUACAUGAACCAAAAUAGCCUCUCAGAAAACUGUUAUAAAUCAUUUAUUAUCUGUUGUGAGAAUUUUUCCUUGUUCCACUUCCCUGCUUCCCCCAUUUGUGGGAGAAAGUUUACUGUAUCUACUUCCUAUCGGAGCAUUUCUAAGUAUUUGAAAGGUCUUAUCCAAAUAUUUGAAAGCUGUUAGAAGUUGCUGAAGUGGCACCUUCAGAAGAAGGCUGGAAUGUUGGAAAACAGCACUGACAUUUUUAAGUGGUUAUGAAAGGUCAAGCUCUCGAUGUAAUCUUGGUGGCGCUUGGAUGGUUCUACUGAGGCUAAUUUUUGAGUAAAUGCAGGUGUGAUAGUAUAGGGAUUAAUCUGGUACCACUGAAUCCACUGCCUGAAAUUCAAACAUUCAACUGUUACGGUUUGUAUUUCGCUUUGUAUUUUAAAUGGUUUUCCUGCUUAAGUAGGUAGAAAAUCACUGCCAACUUUCUUCCCCCACCCGCCGACUAGAAUGAAGUCUGACUGCCUUGCCCAAGAAGACAAACGAGUGCUUGCCUGUAAAGACUGUAGAGGAAUUGAUUGAUCUUGAAUGUUUCCUUCUUGGUCUUUAGUGCACUAUGAAUUUAUUCUGUAAAAAGUGUGAUUAGAGAGGUAAUUUUUUUUUUUUUUAAGAGAGGUAAUCUUAAACCAAAUUCAUUGUAUUUCAGAAGGAAAUGGGCACUUCCCAAAGGAAACAUUGCGGUACUAGAUUUAUUUACCAAAACAAGGGAAAGAACUGGCAGAUAAUAUGACAGCCAUAUGUGGGUUAGAAGUAAAAUACAGUAUUUCAUUGUCAAUAUCAUUUUUAUGCCUCUCAGACUCUUAGAAGGCAUUUUAGAUACCAUUUUGAUCAAAUAAACUGGGAAGACUUAGAAACCAUGUUUUCCAGAGUACAUUCUGAAACAUACCAGUCCUUUGGGAUAUUCCAUGGAAGAAACUUAUGUAGGUAGAACAUUCCUGGGGAACUUUGACUAGGACACUGUCCUGGGGUUUUGCACCAAAGAUAUUAACACAACAAAGACACUCAAGCCUUUCCAUUAAAGAAAGAAAAAGAAAACAGAAACCACCUUAACAUAUGUGAUCUCCAGAUAGCCCCCCCAUUUGUAUCACCUCUUUGUCUCCCUAUGAAGGUCAGAUAAUGUUCUACAGAACUGCACCGCCCCUGACUUGGGUGGUGUCAGAAGCCGUUCAGAUAGUUUUUUAAGUUACAGAAUGUUACAGUUGGGAGAUCCCUCGUAGAUAAAACGUUUCCAGUCACAGGACUUCAUAUUACAAAUGAGGGGAAGGGGCUUUCUUCAGGAUGUGGACCACUGGGCAGGGAUUGGCCGGGAUGCCUAGGGAAGCGGGUCUUGGCCCCCUACCUGCUGUCAGGCCUGUGCUUGUGGUUUCUCAGCUUUCUGGGGGAGUGAGCAAAGGGAACAAUGGAUUUCUUUUUUUUUUUUUUUUUUUUUUAAGUUUAUUUAUUAUUCUGAGAGAGCAGGUGGGGAGGGGCAGAGAGAGAGAAGCCCAAGCAGGCUGUGUCAGACUUGGGGCUCAAACUCCUGAACCAUGAAAUCAUGACGCAAGACAGAAUCAAGAAUCAGACGUUUUGACUGAGCUACCCAGGUGCCCCAAUUUAUUUUUGUUUUAAUAGGGUAAAUUGUUAAUUGAGUUUAUUUUUUAAAAAAAAUUUGUGGUUUAACACACUUACAUUCUCCUCUUGGAAAAAGAGGUCAGUUGCAUCAGAGCAAUAAAACAUGUACUACUCUGUGUCCAGCCAGAGAGUUGCAUUUUCCUUCCUGGAAAUGUGAAA